CGUGAAUUCAAUAAUAAUAAAAUAAAAAACAUAAUUAUUAUUCUGCAAUGCUGAAGGAAGGACAGAGGAUAAGGAUGCUUUCAGUGAUUCUUUUGCGUUCGAUGGUGAUGGAAGGUAAGGCCAUAGGAUAAGGAUGUUUCACUAAUUUAUUUAUUUUUUUAUAAAGGGAUGUUUCAAUAAUUUAGUCCAAGCUGCUAUAUUAUAUACUACUAUCAAACAAACAAGCAUCGAAUUGUUGUCUAUCUAUUAAACAAGCAUUCAGUUAUAGAGUUGGUUGGGAAUAUUUAU
This 288-nucleotide long non-coding RNA is filed under the name Glycine max (soybean). RNAcentral's name for it is "long non-coding RNA (GMAX_LNC001517)". The record is from RNAcentral. Lineage: Eukaryota; Viridiplantae; Streptophyta; Magnoliopsida; Fabales; Fabaceae.